CGACCCACCAAUUUAACAUCAAACUCAGAUGUUGAACGUGAAGGAUAACGUUGCGUCAGCAACGGCCCGUAGGGCGAGGCGAAGCCGAGUCAUCCUGCACGACCCACCA
This 109-nucleotide small RNA is filed under the name Salmonella enterica subsp. enterica serovar Muenchen. RNAcentral's name for it is "partial RtT sRNA". It matches the Rfam family "RtT RNA", at positions 44 to 130 of the family's 130-position model. From Rfam's summary of the family: This family represents a bacterial cis-regulatory element known as RtT RNA. The exact function of RtT is unknown although it is thought that it may be involved in changing the cellular response in relation to amino acid starvation. The record is from RNAcentral. Lineage: Bacteria; Pseudomonadati; Pseudomonadota; Gammaproteobacteria; Enterobacterales; Enterobacteriaceae. RNAcentral also lists the same sequence under 6 other names.